AUUGAACGCUGGCGGCAGGCCUAACACAUGCAAGUCGAACGGUAGCACAGAGAGCUUGCUCUCGGGUGACGAGUGGCGGACGGGUGAGUAACGUCUGGGAAACUGCCCGAUGGAGGGGGAUAACUACUGGAAACGGUAGCUAAUACCGCAUAACGUCGCAAGACCAAAGUGGGGGACCUUCGGGCCUCACACCAUCGGAUGGUCCCAGAUGGGAUUAGCUAGUAGGUGGGGUAAUGGCUCACCUAGGCGACGAUCCCUAGCUGGUCUGAGAGGAUGACCAGCCACACUGGAACUGAGACACGGUCCAGACUCCUACGGGAGGCAGCAGUGGGGAAUAUUGCACAAUGGGCGCAAGCCUGAUGCAGCCAUGCCGCGUGUAUGAAGAAGGCCUUCGGGUUGUAAAGUACUUUCAGCGGGGAGGAAGGCGGUGAAGUUAAUAACUUCACCGAUUGACGUUACCCGCAGAAGAAGCACCGGCUAACUCCGUGCCAGCCGCCGCCGUAA
RNAcentral lists this ribosomal RNA (504 nucleotides) under uncultured bacterium. RNAcentral describes it as "partial 16S ribosomal RNA". It matches the Rfam family "Bacterial small subunit ribosomal RNA", at positions 30 to 523 of the family's 1533-position model. The record is from RNAcentral.